UUUCAUUUUAGUUGUAGAAAUGUCAUAACAGAACCUUUCGUAUCCAACAGAGUUUGGUGAAACGACUGCAAUUUAUAGAGUAAGUUCUUUUUGCUCACUGGAUACGUUUAUAUUUUGUUUUCAUUAUUUUUUUGUUUACGUCGGACAUUACUUGAGUUUUAUUUUAUUGAGUCUACCACGUUGAACGUGACGAUGUCCGUUCUAGUCAGGUGUCUUCUGUGAUUUUUGGUCUACAAUUUAAGAGAGAGCGCGAGAACGAGAGUGUUGACUUUUGAAUCCUUCUGGCCGACAUUUAGGCGCUAUUCCUGCGCACGCAGUAAAGAGCAUCUGUGGAGUCUACACACGUCCUGUACUCGGGAGAUAACUCUGUUCUUAAGGUAAGCACCUCUACAGAACUUUCUAGCUAACGUCAGCGCUUUCUUGAAUGUCAUUCGGGUUUAUGUAAUGUUUAAAGUUACGUUAAUUUGCUCGGUUGUUCCGUUUUGCUCUUGCAAAAAUCAGGAGUUGAACAACAACUAAGCUAGGUUAGCUAACCGUUAGCUAAGGAAAUGUAUAGCUUUCUGUGGCAAGUCGGUUAAGACACUGAGAGGCUACGUGCUUUAUUGCAAACUACAUCGUAACGAACCAAGAUGUUUACUUAAGUGCACCGAAGCUGGUUGCAAGCAUAUAUUUAACAGAUAUGAUAUAUGAUAUACGCUGAGAAGGUGCUUUGUGGUUAUAGAGGCAAGUUAUAGUUUUUUUCUUUUCUUUUCUGUUUGUUGCCCAUGGUCAACUGUUAUAUAGAAUAUUUUGAUACUGUCAGUCAGCUUUGAUGUUACAAGCUUAUAAUGUUAUAAGCUUUUUUGUUUUACGUUGAACUGGCUAAAAAAUGUGAACUGGCUUUUUGUAGCAAUUUGCAGCAAUUAUGAAUGGCUAAGUUAAUAAAACUGCCUAUGAAGAACAUCCAAGCUUUUGUUUCAGUGCUAACACUUCAGGAGGUUGAAGGCUCUUGGCAUCACUAAGAUCUAGAAUCUCUUUCAAGCGUCGCGUUCAAAUUCCUUAGUGGUCACCGACUUGGAGGGAACAACUUGCUGGCCUUUGUGAUGAGACAGCAGAAAGACAGGGACAGGGAAGAGAGAGGAGAUGACAUGCAGCAAAGGACCCGAAGUCUGGCUUGAACCCAGGUUACCAUUGCAAGGACCCAGCCCCAGAGAGGCUCUUGCUUGUCCUCAGUGGACACUGAUGACAACUCUUCAGGCAGAAGUUACAACACUCAAAGUUCCAGUUGCCCAAACAUCAUACCAUGUCGGAGAGUCUCCUAACUGUCUUCAGUCAAGUUUGGACCCAGUGACUUGGACACCAGUCUUGUAAAGCCUUAUUAGAGAAAUGAUCUACAGUAAAGACCUGAUGGACCACGUGAGACUGCAAUCAGAGCUGGUGACUUGUGAAUGCUGAGUGACUCUUUACCCUUGAUCAACCCAGGUCAAGUGGCUCAUUUUUUUGUUUAUUCAUGGACUAUCCCUCAUAUAGACACAUGAUACUUUGUGAGUAUACUUGAAAUGUUGGAUCAGUUCCAUCUUUUUUCAGAGAAUGUGUUAAUGCAAGAACAGUUUCUUCAGGUUUGUCAAUGAUACAUGUGGGCACAAUGGGCUUUAUUUGUUAUUUUGUUUAGAAUCACUAUAGGGUUUUAGACUGUUGCUGACUGUAAAUCUGUGCCAGGUAACUGUAAUUCCUCAUGUGUUAUACUGUAUCUUUUACAGUGAAAUUCUGGCAACCACAGCUGCCAGUAAUUUACCGUAAAUUUGAAAAAUAAACUGUAAUUGCUAAUAUGUUAUAUUGUAUUUUUUACGGUGAAAUUCUGGCAACCACAGCUGCCAGUAAUUUACUGUAAAAUUGGACCUAGCUGCAAUAAAGUACCGUAAUAUGU
Molecule: long non-coding RNA, 1906 nt
Organism: Chelmon rostratus (copperband butterflyfish)
Lineage: Eukaryota; Metazoa; Chordata; Actinopteri; Chaetodontiformes; Chaetodontidae
Exons: 5
Source: RefSeq, a predicted model, not a curated record